AGUUUUUAUAUAAUUCAUCUCUUUGACCAAAAUGAUCAUAGUAUAUCUCAGAGUUUCACUAUCAAACUCUGAUCAGAUUGUCCACAUUAUAUUUCAAAAUAUCAAAUCCAUCUGAUGGAUUACUCUGGCCAAGGUUUUGCUAAAUUGAAAUAUAGCGACACAUUCUUCUCCAACUCUUGGAGUGGUCAAUCCCAUCUCGAUCACACUCUGACUUUGUAAGUACUUGACUGUGCCCAGAAG
This 240-nucleotide long non-coding RNA is filed under the name Elaeis guineensis (African oil palm). RNAcentral's name for it is "long non-coding RNA (EGUI_LNC066338)". Lineage: Eukaryota; Viridiplantae; Streptophyta; Magnoliopsida; Arecales; Arecaceae. The record is from RNAcentral.